This 148-nucleotide microRNA precursor is filed under the name Tursiops truncatus (common bottlenose dolphin). Its description in RNAcentral is "miRNA (ENSTTRG00000023173.1)". The stretch from base 48 to 99 matches the Rfam family "mir-1302 microRNA precursor family". The record is from RNAcentral. Lineage: Eukaryota; Metazoa; Chordata; Mammalia; Artiodactyla; Delphinidae.
AAAAGCAUCUAGUUAAAUUUGAAUUUCAGAAAAAAAAGAAUAUAUAUUUUUUAGCAUAAGUAUGUCUCAUGCAACAUUUGAGACAUACUUAUACUAAAAAAUUAUUUGUUUAUCUGAAAUACAAAUUUAACUGGAUGUCCUGUAUUUU